This 84-nucleotide transfer RNA is filed under the name Brevundimonas phage vB_BpoS-Bambus. RNAcentral's name for it is "tRNA-Asn". It matches the Rfam family "tRNA". Rfam says of the family: Transfer RNA (tRNA) molecules are approximately 80 nucleotides in length. The record is from RNAcentral. RNAcentral also lists the same sequence under 4 other names. Lineage: Duplodnaviria; Heunggongvirae; Uroviricota; Caudoviricetes.
UCCUAUGUGGCGGAAUGGUAAACGCAGUCGACUGUUAAUCGACCGUCGCAAGACUUAGAGGUUCGAGUCCUCUCAUAGGAGCCA